UGACCACAUUCUAAAGGAACAGUACUACUCUCGGUUUGUCAUUGUUAGAGUCUGGAAGAAACAUUUAGGCUAUUUUGAAAGUACUAUCACACUGAAUAUAAGGAAGAGUGGCAAGAAAUUAUCUUUGAGAAAAUACCUGUGCAGCUUAAGUUCGUUAAGCCACAUGGGGGAAGGAAGUGUCUUUAGGCUGAGGAGGCAGCAUGUGUGAAGGCCUUGAGUAAGACCGCUGUCUGGCCUGUGCAUAGGUUGGUUGUUAAAGAGGCUCUAUGAUUUUCGGUUACUUUCUCCAGACAGCUCCUCCGGUGGAACCAGUAGAGCUGUGUUUAGAAAAGAAACUUGCACUAUGAGCUAAUACCAGCCCAUUCAUAUCUGACUUGUGCCUGAGGAACUGAGGUGAUCUCUCAAGGACCUACUGCCUGGAACUAUAAAGACCUAUCUGUGUCAGUCCACACACAACUGAAAACCUGCCGGAACUUUUCCCAAAACAGAGGCUACCCUAGAGCUGACACCAAUGUUCUGCCACUACCAUAGCAAAACCGCAGUCCUGAAAGAGUGCGAGAAACAGAAGUGCAAAUAUGCAAAAGUAGGAGUUUGUCCAGAGUUAUGAAAAGCAGCAAAGAAAGAACCCUGGGGGGGAAAAAAAAGUAAGGCUCAUGAUGUUGACGAGUGAAAAGACGGCUAAAUGUAGAGUGGGAUGCGAGCAUGCUCUCCUUCAUGAUCAGCCCCUUUGUUCCUGUACUGUACCCCCAUUCUAAUGUCAGAUACAGCAGAAUAUGGAAAAGAUGAGGGUUUGAAUUUUGCCUCUAACGCUUAGCAUUUUGUGCCCUUGGCAAAAGUAUCUGUACCUUAAUUCUUACAGGGUUACAGUCAGAAUAAAUGAGACACCCUGUAUAAGAAAUAGGUUACCAUGCCUUGACAUAGAUAUAGAUAUAAGCAAAAUAGAAACCUUGUCUUUAACUGUAUAAUUUAAUAAACUACUUUGUAAAUUAUAGUUGUAUAACACUUGUAUCAAUUUAUCAAAUUCUUUAAAAAAUUAGUUCUUGACAUCUUUGAUGGAGCUACUUGAAAUGCAUUUUCUCCAUCUCUUUUAAAGAGGUCUGUUAUAUAUUGUGACAAACGUUUUAGAUAUUUGUAGACUAAUUUUAUUGGGAGGGCUUGAUCGAUUUUAUGAACUACAUUUAAAACUACUUUUUAAAAAACCAAUUACCUCUAUAUAUGUUUUGCUCUUAGCCACUUCAACAAGGCAGAGUAACUUCACUAUUGCAUACUAUAUGGACAUUUUAACAGAACCCUGUAUAUAUAAAAAAAAUUAAUAGCUAAUUCAAAACCCUGACAGAACAACAAAAGGCUACCUGGAGUAUAUAAAUAUUUUUUGAAGUGGUUUUGUCAUCAGUUUUCUUCCACUUUUAAAAAUAGAUUGCCUUCUGUCUUUGAAGAUACUACAGUUUCACAUGAAGAUUUUCUACCAAAAUGUAGGUGAUAUAUAUUUGGAAAUCAUUAAGAGUCAGACAGUGUUGCUAGAGUCAAAUAACCCCUCAGAGAUAUACCUGUGGUUUCUUUAGUUCUUUUUAGUUAUCUCUCCAUUCAGGACACUUACUUUCUUAAAAUAGUACUCUCAUUUGAAAGCUUUCAUGUUGAAUUAGUGACUGUAAUGGAAAGACUGUGCUCCUAAACUCCUGAAAUCCUCUUUGGAAUAUAAUUCCAUGUAUACAGUUAAGAGAGUUUAAAAAAUCCUAAGUCUGCCUGUUAUACUGGUACUAUUGGAAAUUGAAAAAGAAUCAAAUAUUUAAAUAUAUUAAGUGGGUAUGCUUGCAGUCUCA
Canis lupus familiaris (dog) is the source of this 1820-nucleotide long non-coding RNA. RefSeq lists it as uncharacterized. The transcript has 3 exons. The record is from RefSeq and is a predicted model, not a curated record. NCBI's taxonomy places the organism in Eukaryota, Metazoa, Chordata, Mammalia, Carnivora, Canidae.